This is a transfer RNA of Camelus ferus (Wild Bactrian camel), 71 nucleotides long. It matches the Rfam family "tRNA". Rfam says of the family: Transfer RNA (tRNA) molecules are approximately 80 nucleotides in length. The record is from Rfam. NCBI's taxonomy places the organism in Eukaryota, Metazoa, Chordata, Mammalia, Artiodactyla, Camelidae.
GAGGGUAUAGCUCAGAGGUAGAGUGCAUGUUUAGCACGCACAAGUCCUAGGUUCCAUCCCUAGUACCUCCA